RNAcentral lists this ribosomal RNA (464 nucleotides) under Ctenus amphora. RNAcentral's name for it is "partial large subunit ribosomal RNA". The record is from RNAcentral. Lineage: Eukaryota; Metazoa; Arthropoda; Arachnida; Araneae; Ctenidae.
UCGCCUGUUUUUACAAAAACAUUUCUAUUAAAUAUAAUUAAUAGUAAAAUCUGCUCAAUGAAAAUUAAAUAGCCGCAACACGUGCUAAGGUAGUACAAUAACUCGUCUUUUAAUUAAAGACUAAACAAAAGAUUUAACAUUUUAAGCAAUAUAAAUAUUUAAACUAUUUAAAUUAUUUAAAUUUUUAAAAAACAAUUAUACAAAAAAAAGACGAUAAGACCCUACUGAACUUAACUUAAGUUAAACUGGGGUAGUUAAUUAAACACAUCUUAAUUUAAAUAUAUCUACAUAAGACCUAUUACAAAUAAAUAAAAAGUCAAGUUACCAUAGGGAUAACAGCGUAAUAUCUCUCAAACCCUUAUUUAAAAAGAAGUUUACGACCUCGAUGUUGAAUUAAUUUUCUAAUUCACGCAAUAGUAAAAAAAGAAAGUCUGUUCGACUUUUAAACAAUUACAUGAUCUGAG